GCCGAAACGCGUCCGGAAAAUAAGCAUUUAGUGAAAGCGUGAGUUUUUUAAAAAAGUUUUAUAAAAAUUUUAAUGAUUACUUAAAUUUGGAAUUUCAGGAAAAGAAUUUGGAACUCAGUGUGUUUAUAAUAGCCACAACUCGAGAUUAUUGUCCCCUAGAAUGCAGGAUUCAGAAUUAAUUCAUGCCAUAGAGGGUUAACGUUUAAGAAAUUCAAAGGUUCCUGUGGAAACCCAUGCACGGUAAUUUUUAAACAAUGAGUUUACUGCUGAUAAAUCCUAGAACACCCUGUAUUUAAAACCAACGCAACUAUUUUAAUCCUGCCAGGUUUUACUUUUUCCAGCUUGCUUUGUCUUUUUUUUUUUUUGCGUGUAAACAUAAAAGACCCUUACAUUAAACGCAGUGACCAUGUUGUAAUGAUACAAAAUUUUCCUCCAUGAAUAGUGAAUACAUCUCUACUUCCGAAAAUCUAUUUCAUUAAUUUGACGACAUUCGGUUUGCUCCGUUGGAAUCAGUCGAGGAUUGUAAUUUGUGGACUGGCGGUUUCAGGGGCAUCUUUCCUCAUUGAUGAACAGUGUUGAAUCUCACUUAAAAUAAAUAAUGAUGAAUGUUCAUAACUUUACUGAAUUAUUUGAAAAGACAAAAUGUGAGCAGUACAUGAGUAAAAUAAGAACUCAAUAACCCCUGAAAAAGUUCUUUUAUUUCAUAAAUUGUUACUUUCUUCAGGUAUCAGCUGAUACACACUUACACAUGAGGUGCCACAUAGGAUUUCACAUUCUGCCUCCCGCCUGAUCGACUUGAUCAGGACAGGCAACGGACAGAGGUCGGUGACACCUCGAACCAUCACUGAGGUUGGGGUCUUUACUUUAACCACUCUGCUAACGUGUCCAUCGGCAUCAGGUAAGCUGCUGCUCUUGUACUGCUUGUCUCUUUGAAGGAAGUAUUCUUUGGCACUUUGGCAUAAUGCUCCCAAUAGGCAAAGGUAGUAGGCACUCUCUUUCUGGAGUUUACAGACUGGUGAAAUUGAGGUUUGG
RNAcentral lists this long non-coding RNA (1032 nucleotides) under Bemisia tabaci. Its description in RNAcentral is "lncRNA ENSSSA1NGG002855". Lineage: Eukaryota; Metazoa; Arthropoda; Insecta; Hemiptera; Aleyrodidae. The record is from RNAcentral.